AUGUUCUUCAGGCCAUGGCUGCGGCAAGCUCAAGCGGUGACCAAGGUGAUGCGUUCUCAGGUGGAUCUGAUGAUCGAGCGCGUCCGGUCCCACAUCUGGACCAGGGACACGGCUGUAGAGCUUCUCGGAUCUGUCUGCCUGGUGGAUAGCUUGGCACCGGAGACAGCCAGCCGAGAGGAUCUCUCCAUGUUCAAGCUUCGUGCGUGGUGCGUUGACCCUGAUGAAGUGCUGGUGGCGUGGAGGUUGUGGGUGCCGGAGCCUGAGGUGGAGGGAAACCCUGCGGCUCACCGGCCUACUUCCCGUCAGCUGCUGGAAUACAAGACGCUCAUCCAUAUUGGUCGAGUCAAGGAGCACGCCGGUCCAGAGGGCUGGCUCCGGCCGCCUAGCUCGGAUGGUAGCGGUCAGAGCGGCCUGCCGGAGCAUUCUGGCAGCUUCUCUGGCAGCGGAGAGUGGCGGGUGCUUCCAUGGACGCGGGGUGUUCGAGAUGUUUGCGGUGGCGCGCCGGCGGGAGGUGCUGUGGGUGGCUCGUAUCGGCAUGCUCUCCUAGGGCGUGUGGGGCCCUCAGACUGGCGCAUCCGGCCAAUGGUCGAGACAGGUGUCAGAGUUGUGCUGCCGCCGCCGCUGGGGUGGGAAGCAUCGCCGGUGGCAAGGCAUGUCACUCUGGCUCUGUAG
This 672-nucleotide ribosomal RNA is filed under the name Triticum aestivum (bread wheat). Its description in RNAcentral is "partial small subunit ribosomal RNA". Lineage: Eukaryota; Viridiplantae; Streptophyta; Magnoliopsida; Poales; Poaceae. The record is from RNAcentral.